GAGAUCAGUGAGAAGAAGCGAAAAUAUUCAAAAUGGAGUCGGAAGUGGAUCAAAAUUGGGCAUUUGAUGCUUUCAAUGACGGCUCAAUAAGUAAGUUUUUGCAAUUAUUACACGUGAAACAAAUAACGCAAUACACCAACUUUGUAUUUUUGUUCCUGCAGAGAUAGUAAGCGAAGUGCAACUUCGAAAAUAUGGUCAAUUUUUGGAGGAAUACGCAUCACAACUGAAAGGUAUUGAAGAUGCAUUGGACGAAUGGAUUGGAGAGUCGUGGGAUUUCUCACUUGACCCGAUUCAACUGCAG
Molecule: non-coding RNA, 301 nt
Organism: Paramuricea clavata
Lineage: Eukaryota; Metazoa; Cnidaria; Anthozoa; Malacalcyonacea; Plexauridae
Source: the annotation of a GenBank genome assembly